Molecule: ribosomal RNA, 366 nt
Filed under: uncultured organism
Description: bacterial SSU rRNA
Rfam family: Bacterial small subunit ribosomal RNA
Source: RNAcentral
CGGAGGGUGCGAGCGUUAUCCGGAAUUACUGGGUUUAAAGGGUGCGUAGGCGGCCAUGUAAGUCAGGAGUGAAAGUUUGCGGCUCAACCGUAAAAUUGCUUUUGAUACUGCAUGGCUGGAAUCAGGAUGAGGUCAGCGGAAUGUGGCAUGUAGCGGUGAAAUGCAUAGAUAUGCCAUAGAACACCAAUUGCGAAGGCAGCUGGCUAGACCUGUAUUGACGCUGAGGCACGAAAGCGUGGGGAGCGAACAGGAUUAGAUACCCUGGUAGUCCACGCCCUAAACGAUGCUUACUCGACGUAUGAAGCUAGUCUUUGUGCGUCCAAGGGAACCUUAAGUAAGCCACCUGGGGAUACGACCGCAAGGUUG